Molecule: ribosomal RNA, 1633 nt
Filed under: Helicotylenchus paracanalis
Lineage: Eukaryota; Metazoa; Nematoda; Chromadorea; Rhabditida; Hoplolaimidae
Description: SSU rRNA
Rfam family: Eukaryotic small subunit ribosomal RNA
Source: RNAcentral
GGUAAUUCUGGAGCUAAUACCAUGCACCAAAGCUCCGAUCCUCGCGGAGAGGAGCGCAUUUGUUCGCCACAAAACCAAGCGCCUUCACAGGCGUUUCGUGUUGACUCAGAACAACUCAGCUGAUCGCACGGUCUUGCACCGGCGACGUGUCUUUCAAGUGUCUGCCUUAUCAACUUUCGAUGGUAGUGUACCUGACUACCAUGGUUGUGACGGGUAACGGAGGAUAAGGGUUCGACUCCGGAGAAGGGGCCUGAGAAAUGGCCACUACGUCUAAGGAUGGCAGCAGGCGCGCAAAUUACCCACUCUCAAUUUGAGGAGGUAGUGACGAGAAAUAACGAGACCGUUCUCAUACGAGGCCGGUUAUCGGAAUGGGUACAAUUUAAACCCUUUAACGAGUAUCUAUGAGAGGGCAAGUCUGGUGCCAGCAGCCGCGGUAAUUCCAGCUCUCAAAAUGCAUAGAAUUAUUGCUGCGGUUAAAAAGCUCGUAGUUGGAUCUGUGCUGGCCGCCCGGUCUGCUCAUUGAGUACGCACUGGUGCGGUUGGCUUUGCUGUCGGAUUUCCUCCCGGCGUCCGCCUUCACCGGCAGGCGUCGCGGGUCCGGCGAGUUUACUUUGAACAAAUCAGAGUGCUUCAAACAGGCGUCUCGCCUGAAUGUUCGUGCAUGGAAUAAUAGAAGAGGAUUUCGGUCCGAUUUUAUUGGUUUUGCUGACCGAGAUAAUGGUUAACAGAGACAAACGGGGCCAUUCGUAUUGCUGCGUGAGAGGUGAAAUUCUUGGACCGUAGCAAGACGGACUACAGCGAAAGCAUAUGGCAAGAAUGUCUUCAUUAAUCAAGAACGAAAGUCAGAGGUUCGAAGGCGAUCAGAUACCGCCCUAGUUCUGACCGUAAACGAUGCCAACUAGCGAUCCGCCGGCGGAUUCAUUCGCCCUGGUGGGGAGCUUCCCGGAAACGAAAGUCUUCCGGUUCCGGGGGAAGUAUGGUUGCAAAGCUGAAACUUAAAGGAAUUGACGGAAGGGCACCACCAGGAGUGGAGCCUGCGGCUUAAUUUGACUCAACACGGGGAAACUCACCCGGCCCGGACACCGUAAGGAUUGACAGAUUGAUAGCUUUUUCAUGAUUCGGUGGAUGGUGGUGCAUGGCCGUUCUUAGUUCGUGGAGCGAUUUGUCUGGUUUAUUCCGAUAACGAGCGAGACUCUGGCCUACUAAAUAGUCGGCACAUUGUCAUUGUGUGCACAACUUCUUAGAGGGAUUUUCGGUGUUCAGCCGCACGAAAUUGAGCAAUAACAGGUCUGUGAUGCCCUUAGAUGUCCGGGGCUGCACGCGCGCUACACUGGCAAAAUCAGCGUGCUUGUCCUUCCCCGAAAGGGGUUGGUAAACCCGUGAAAAUUUGCCGUGAUUGGGAUCGGACAUUGCAAUUAUUGUCCGUGAACGAGGAAUUCCUUGUAGGGGCGAGUCAUCAACUCGCUCUGAAUACGUCCCUGCCCUUUGUACACACCGCCCGUCGCUGCCCGGGACUGAGCCAUUUCGAGAAACUCGGGGGAUUGUUGGCGUCGUAACCUUCGGGCUGCUUCUUCGAUGAAAACCCGAUUUAAUCGCAUGGGAUUGAACCGGGCAAAAGUCGUAACAAGGUAGC